AGGAACUGGUCCUCAAUCACAUGAAUUGGACUACACAGACAAAAGGAUAAUAAUGAAGAGCUCUCCGUCGUUUUACGGAAGUAGCAUGAAUCGCAUGGAUUUGCGAAACACGACACCUUUUUCUCAAACAAAAUUUUUGUGGUGGAACAUUGACCAGCGGCCCACCGAUGGGACUGCAUUUUUCGCAACUUUACCUUUUUCUCAAACAAAAUUUGUGUGGUGGAACAUUAACCAGUGGCCCACCGAUGGAACUGCAUUUUUCCCAACUUUAGACAUAAUCUUUCAAUGAGUCAUUAUUAUUAUGAAAUUAGAGUUUGACUAUUUAAUUUGAUUUAUUCUUCUUAUGAUUUUGAACAUAUGUAAAGUAUAGAAGAUUAAACUAUGUAAGGA
This 390-nucleotide long non-coding RNA is filed under the name Theobroma cacao (cacao). RNAcentral describes it as "long non-coding RNA (TCAC_LNC003533)". The record is from RNAcentral. Lineage: Eukaryota; Viridiplantae; Streptophyta; Magnoliopsida; Malvales; Malvaceae.